AGAGCGAACGCUGGCGGCAGGCUUAACACAUGCAAGUCGAGCGGGCGUAGCAAUACGUCAGCGGCAGACGGGUGAGUAACGCGUGGGAACAUACCUUUUGGUUCGGAACAACACAGGGAAACUUGUGCUAAUACCGGAUAAGCCCUUACGGGGAAAGAUUUAUCGCCGAAAGAUUGGCCCGCGUCUGAUUAGCUAGUUGGUGAGGUAAUGGCUCACCAAGGCGACGAUCAGUAGCUGGUCUGAGAGGAUGAUCAGCCACAUUGGGACUGAGACACGGCCCAAACUCCUACGGGAGGCAGCAGUGGGAAUAUUGGACAAUGGGCGCAAGCCUGAUCCAGCCAUGCCGCGUGAGUGAUGAAGGCCCUAGGGUUGUAAAGCUCUUUGUGCGGGAAGAUAAUGACGGUACCGCAAGAAUAAGCCCGGCUAACUUCGUGCCAGCAGCCGC
This 445-nucleotide ribosomal RNA is filed under the name uncultured bacterium. Its description in RNAcentral is "SSU rRNA". It matches the Rfam family "Bacterial small subunit ribosomal RNA", at positions 26 to 518 of the family's 1533-position model. The record is from RNAcentral.